GGGGAAUAUUGCACAAUGGGCGGAAGCCUGAUGCAGCGACGCCGCGUGAGGGAUGAAGGCCUUCGGGUUGUAAACCUCUUUCAGCAGGGACGAAGCGUGAGUGACGGUACCUGCAGAAGAAGCACCGGCUAACUACGUGCCAGCAGCCGCGGUAAUACGUAGGGUGCGAGCGUUGUCCGGAAUUACUGGGCGUAAAGAGUUCGUAGGCGGUUUGUCGCGUCGUUUGUGAAAACCCGGGGCUCAACUUCGGGCUUGCAGGCGAUACGGGCAGACUUGAGUGUUUCAGGGGAGACUGGAAUUCCUGGUGUAGCGGUGAAAUGCGCAGAUAUCAGGAGGAACACCGGUGGCGAAGGCGGGUCUCUGGGAAACAACUGACGCUGAGGAACGAAAGCGUGGGUAGCAAACAGGAUUAGAUACCCUGGUAGUCCACGCCGUAAACGGUGGGCGCUAGGUGUGGGUUCCUUCCACGGGAUCUGUGCCGUAGCUAACGCAUUAAGCGCCCCGCCUGGGGAGUACGGCCGCAAGGCUAAAACUCAAAGGAAUUGACGGGGGCCCGCACAAGCGGCGGAGCAUGUGGAUUAAUUCGAUGCAACGCGAAGAACCUUACCUGGGUUUGACAUACACCGGAAAACCGUAGAGAUACGGUCCCCCUUGUGGUCGGUGUACAGGUGGUGCAUGGCUGUCGUCAGCUCGUGUCGUGAGAUGUUGGGUUAAGUCCCGCAACGAGCGCAACCCUUGUCUUAUGUUGCCAGCGCGUUAUGGCGGGGACUCGUAAGAGACUGCCGGGGUCAACUCGGAGGAAGGUGGGGACGACGUCAAGUCAUCAUGCCCCUUAUGUCCAGGGCUUCACACAUGCUACAAUGGCCAGUACAGAGGGCUGCGAGACCGUGAGGUGGAGCGAAUCCCUUAAAGCUGGUCUCAGUUCGGAUCGGGGUCUGCAACUCGACCCCGUGAAGUCGGAGUCGCUAGUAAUCGCAGAUCAGCAACGCUGCGGUGAAUACGUUCCCGGGCCUUGUACACACCGCCCGUCACGUCAUGAAAGUCGGUAACACCCGAAGCCGGUGGCCUAACCCCUCGUGGGAGGGAGCCGUCGAAGGUGGGAUCGGCG
RNAcentral lists this ribosomal RNA (1108 nucleotides) under Rhodococcus sp. 43/02. RNAcentral describes it as "bacterial SSU rRNA". It matches the Rfam family "Bacterial small subunit ribosomal RNA", at positions 356 to 1473 of the family's 1533-position model. The record is from RNAcentral. Lineage: Bacteria; Bacillati; Actinomycetota; Actinomycetes; Mycobacteriales; Nocardiaceae.